This is a non-coding RNA of Microcebus murinus (gray mouse lemur), 3289 nucleotides long. The record is from RefSeq and is a predicted model, not a curated record. NCBI's taxonomy places the organism in Eukaryota, Metazoa, Chordata, Mammalia, Primates, Cheirogaleidae.
UUUCCUUUUCCUUUCUCUUUCUCUUUUUCUUUUUCCUGUUUUGUUUUCUUUUCACUGUUAACAUUCAAGAAAUAAAUGACUUCCUUGAAGAGAUUUUAUUCUACCUCUUGGAACUAUACAAAGUUCUGUAUGUGUUCCCUUGGUUGCAUGACAAUACUCAAGACAACUUUGUAAAUAGAUACAAAAUUUUAAUUUUUAACAUCUAGUCUUUCUAGGUGUAUAGAGUCUCACAAAGUAUACUUUUGUAAAUAAGUCAUUGUAAAAUAUCAUGGUUUCAUUGUGUUUUGAAAUGUCUUCACAAUGAAAUUGAUAAAAUUGUGGGCUUUUUAUUGUAUACAUAUUUUGGUAUCUGUGUUUUUGGAUUGUUAGGGUAAGGAAAAAGUUAAGGGUAUAUAUUUUUAACUUCAAAUUCUCAUAAGAAAGAAAAAUUAUAUUUUACCCAUUUCUUAGUAUUGUAUUAUACAUAAAAAACCUGUCAUAAUUUUGUAGUUAUAUUGAUGAUAGGGCAUUAUAUAAAUAUAAUUUUGUAGUCAUUGUAGUAAAUAUCUUUUGUAAGCAAAAUUUUCUUCUACCUCUUUGAAUGAUACAGUUUUAUAUUUACUUGGACUGCAUGACAACAUUCAAGACACUUUGUAAAUAAUGAAUACAUAUGUCAUUUUUUUAAGAUCUAACUUUUCUUGAUGCAUGGAGUGUCAACAAAGUGUAAAUUUGUAAAUGUUUCAUUGUAACAUAUUUGGCUCCUCUAAAUAUUUUGGUGUCACACAAGUAAUUAAUAAUUGGCCACGUUUGUGAGUUUUGGGGACAGCAAUGGAGUGCCUUGCCUCUAUGUCUUCCCAAAUGUUAGAGUCUCAUGUAUAAGAACGGCCACAAUUGUUCCUUGUAUGCAUUAUAUCCUUACACAAAUAGGGAACAAAAACCCUUGCAUAUAUUUUUAUUAAUAUCUUUAAAAAGAAUGAGGAAAACAUGAGAGGGAAAGGGAAAUAUCAUUUUAAUUCAAAUAUACAUUGAGUGUUACAAGAUUGCUAAAGUCAUUGUUAUUUUGCUGUAUCUACUUUUUUCAAAUUUAUAUUAAUGCAUCUAUAUUAUAAAUGUAUGUUCACACACACAUCUAAAAUUAGUUUUAAUGGUAUAGAUGUAUAGCUUUUUUUAGGGUAUUAACCUCAUUUCUUGGUUGCUGCUUUACAUUUAUUUUUAUUUUAUAAAUUACAGAAAAGAGGCUUUUAAGCUUGCACGUAUUUCUAGAAUAUUGUUAUAUCUAAAUGUAUGCUAAUUUUAUGUUAAAUAAUGAGCAGUCCCAUAUAAUUUGUUUUCUAAUAUUUUUCCAUUAUUUAUACAUCCAUAUGAGAACAGAACAAUUUUAGUUAUGAAUAUUUUUUUUUGUUUUUCUGAUUGUUUCUAAAAAUUUGCCUAUAUUACAUAUUUUUAUGUUAUGUGAUGAUAAUCAGAGAUACAUUGUUACCUAUAAUGUAAAUGAAGAAAAUUUCUUAUAAAGAUCCUAUCCACUACUGAUCAAAUUACUAAUCAGUACAUCUUUUUAAAUGGAAAGUUGACAAUGACAAUCAAAUUGAAAGUAUGUACAUUUUUUUAAGUGUUACAGUUUAAUACUGGGAUUUUAUCUAUUCCAAUUGUUCAGAUUUACAAAGAAGAAAUACAUUAUAGGUUGAGUAUAAAAACAUAAUAAUACAAAUACCUGAAAUAUCCAUUAUUAAAUAAAAGAUUGUAAUGCUUAUAGCUUAUGCAACACGGAUGUAAUUCUAAUGGUGAAAAAAUAUGCCUAUAUGGAAGGGUGUUUUGUUGGUAUUUAAAAUUAUGGUAUUUAAAAUUGGUAUUUAAAAUUAUGUCAUUUUUCUAUAAACAAAAACUAAUUGCCAGUUUACAGAGGUGUGUGUAUAUGCCUCUUGUUUUUCUAAUUGUAAUUUAAUGAUUAAUUACAAAAAUAUGAAUUAUACAUGGGGAAUACAAUCUAAUGAUUAAUACUUAAUAUGAUGAGAAUGGUGAUUAUUUGAACAUUUUCUUUUGAAUUUUUUAUACGUAAGAAUGUACAUAUUUGUAUAUUGCUAUGUGACAAAAAUCUAGAAUGAAUAUAUGAUUUAUAUGAGAAGAAAAUUGGAAGAAGAUGGCAAAGUUUUAACAGUUCUAUAUAGAGAAAUGAAGAUAGGACUGCUUCUACUUUCUGCAUUUGAAAUUUUAAAAAGGUAUUUCAAAAAUGAACAUUUAAACAAUACAGGAAAUGUUAAAGAGAAGCAAUUUGUACCUGUCUUCACCCUUGUCCAUCAGCAUCAUGGGAGUAUUGGCCUGUUGUAUCCAAUAUUUUAUUCCCAGUGGCCAUCGUGUAUGGUUUUUGAAUUAUCUCAUGAAGAAUAUAUGAUUUAUAUGCUAGUUCAGCUGAGUCUUGGCAAUGAAACAAAGAGUAUUGGAUUACCCAUGGGAAGAAGGCAGAAGAUGGAAUUGGAGGUGAUGACUGAAAAGAAACAUAUGCCAUUAUUUCUACUGCUGGCAUCACCAAAAGCAAAGUAUGGUCUUCAUAAUGUACACAGACGACUUCCCAUUUAUGUGUGUUGCAAAGAACACUCCUUUCAGAUAAAAAAAAAAAAAAUCCUAGAUGAGAAACCUCAUUUUUGGAAAGUUAUCUAAAGAGUAUCAUGGAAGUGAAUUUUAACUAGGCAUGAUUGUCUUCAUCGUUGCUGUUGGACUAAAUCUCAGGAGCUGGAAUGACUCAGACAUUGUACAAAGAAGUUCAGGAUGGUGGAAUUAAAAGGGCUUCAUCUCAGUGCUUUCAUAAAAUAUUCCCUGUCUAUAUUCACAUUAUUUUCUCUCAAUUGAUGCUUAUAAUAAUUUUUCAAGGUGGAAAAAAAUGCAGUUUUAAUUUCAUUUGAUCCAAAUUUAAUAUAUUAGGAGAGAUUAAAUCUCUGUAAAAUUGAGUCCUCCUAUCCAACUGCAAGUUAUGUCUAAGCUUGUCCAGUUUAAGAAGUGAGACCUUGUUUACCACAUGACAUUUUCAUAUCAAUCCAAAUCAUUGUACUUGUUUAUCCUUUUCGUGGACUUCAUUCUUCAAAAGUUCUGCAUAUUACCCAAGCAAGGACCAAAGAGAUUUUCUUACAGGUAAGAGCAAUUAAGGCCUACAUUCUGAUUUUUAACAUACUUUUUUUAGCUAUAUUGAUGAUAGAUUAGAUUUUUGUUUGAGUUAUCUUAUAUUAAUUUCUUUUCCUAAAAACCUACUUUGUGGCUUAUCUGAUCAUUUUUAGAUAACAUAUAAUCAAAGAUUUUAUAGUUAUCUCUUGUUAGUAAA